RNAcentral lists this ribosomal RNA (465 nucleotides) under uncultured bacterium. Its description in RNAcentral is "SSU rRNA". It matches the Rfam family "Bacterial small subunit ribosomal RNA", at positions 26 to 518 of the family's 1533-position model. The record is from RNAcentral.
AGGACUAACGCUGGCGGCGUGCCUAACACAUGCAAGUCGAACGAGGUAGCAAUACCUAGUGGCAGACGGGUGAGUAACACGUGGUCAACCUGCCUCCGUGUGGGGGAUAACUAGCCGAAAGGUUAGCUAAUACCGCAUACGAUCGCUUAAAGGCAUCUUUGAGCGAUGAAAGGAGUAAUCCGCACGGAGAGGGGACUGCGUCCCAUUAGUUAGUUGGUGGGGUAACGGCCUACCAAGACUCCGAUGGGUAGCUGGCUUGAGAGAGCGACCAGCCACACUGGAACUGAGACACGGUCCAGACUCCUACGGGAGGCAGCAGUGAGGAAUUUUCCGCAAUGGGCGCAAGCCUGACGGAGCGACGCCGCGUGUGGGAAGAAGGCCUUCGGGUCGUAAACCACUGUCGAAGGGGACGAUAUUGACGGUACCCUUGGAGGAAGCCCCGGCUAACUACGUGCCAGCAGCCGC